Long non-coding RNA from Dermochelys coriacea (leatherback sea turtle), 4848 nucleotides. RefSeq lists it as uncharacterized. The record is from RefSeq and is a predicted model, not a curated record. The transcript is spliced from 2 exons. Lineage: Eukaryota; Metazoa; Chordata; Testudines; Dermochelyidae.
GUGAUGUUUUCAUUGACUUUGGGGCAGAACAGGAAACAGUGGUCUACUGGUGCUUGCAGUCUGUUUUCUGAGCACCCGCAGCACCCACUGAAAUUAACUUUUGUCAGAAGUGCACAGUGCCUCUAAAAAUCAGGCCCUGUCUGACUCAGCUUAAAUCCUUCCAAGCCUAGGGACCAGAUCUUCAGAUAAAGUACAGACCAGACUUUAAGAAGGCUUACAGGGGAGCGAGGGCCACUGGCUUGGUAGGGUCAAUAGAAUCAAAGAAAUUAAAGGUGGGAAAAGAAGUUCAUCCAUCCCCCUUAGUCUUUUGGCUCUAACAACACAGGCUUCUAGCAUUGGUGCUAAAGGAGAGCUCCCUUACCUGGCAUCAGUAGCAGGCACUUUGGUUUCUGGAGAGCGCCACCAGCCUCAUGGACAAACAUGUCAGCAUAGUUCGUACCCUGCCUCCCCCGCCAGUGCUGAUGGGGCUGAUUUUCAAAGGUGUUGCUAAGCAUCUGAGGCGCCUGUUGGCUUCAGCUGAAUCAGUGGGUGCUCAGCACCUCUGGAAGUCUGCCCCUUUCCCUGCCACUGUCCACUCGAGAGAGGCCCAACAUGGAAAUACCAGGGAGAGGAGAGCAAGGGAGGCAAUGUCACCGAUGAGUGGAGUCAUCCGGGCCUGCAGGCUGGGACAGAAGGGUAUCGAAUGACCGUGACCGUGCAGCCGGGACUGUUUAUUCCAGUGAAGGAGAAAGUUAUCUCCAAGCCUGUGACCUGUAUGCUCUUUACUCCUGCGUAGCUCUGUCCGUUCCCCCACAGACCCUGAAGGAGAUCUCUCAGGCGGGACACUGUUAUUUAUCAGCCUACUGAGCUGCUAUCAGGGUGAGUUUAAGAUAACACCUUUUGUUCCACUGCAUUAUUCCUUGCAUAAUGAUAGGUUUCAGAGUAGCACAAAAGCUUAUGCUCAAAUAAAUGUGUUAGUCUCUAAGGUGCCACAAGGACUCCUUUUCUUUUUGCCUUAUUCCUAUUCAGGAGAGCGAUAGCACGUGUAAAUAUUUGUCAGCCCUCUGACCAGGGUUUGAUUUAUAAGCCCCCAGCACUCGCUCCCUGCAGGGUUUGGCAGGCUGAAUCCUAGUUGUGUGAUCUCUGGGUUCCUGCACAUGGUUUGCCGGUAAAUGCCUUCCAGACACCUACAUCGGAGCAGAAGCUUUUAGUACAGUGGCAUGAGGACACUGGUCAGAUCCUGAGCAAAUGUAAAUUGCCAUAGCUCCACUGAAGCUAGUGGAGCUAGGGCCAGAUAUACAAUGGUAUUUAGGUGCCUAAAGAGGCAGAUAGGCUCCUACUGGGGUUUACAAAAGCUUCUUAGCAGGUUAGGUGCCAAAUUCCCAUUGAAAGCCGGUAGGCGAUCAGUAUCCAACUCACUUGUAAAUCCAACUAGGCACCUAUCCGCAUGGUUAGGUGCCACAAUAUGUUUAUAAAUCUGGCCCCUCUGCAAAUUUGCAUCUGCUGAGCAUCCAACUCUGUCUUCUUUGGCAAAUGAAUCCAGUUCUGUUCCACUGUGUAUGUAGAGCGUUGCAUUAAUUUGAAUGUUUUCAAGGCUGAAGCAUUGGUUGUAUUUUGUUUCCUAGGGUUUCAUGGGCAUUAUUUGGUAAUUGCUUGGUGCAGCUGAGCUGUUUGCAGAAGGGAGAUGGCAAAUGCAAUUGAUAAUUUCAUAGAUUCAAGAACUAGAAUAGAGAUUCAGCCAGGAAUCGCUGACCUACCUUGUCAGUUUGACAAGAAGCAUGCAAUGUACUGUAAUAUGGUAUUGCCAUCAGCUGUCACACUUCAAGGCUGUGAUCGACUGGAUUGGCUACUCUGGUUGGAGUAUCAGCAACAUUAAUGGAGUGCAUUAGCCCAGUUGUUCUUGCUGCACAUCGAGUUCUUUAGGCCUGGUACUCUCCUCACUUAGCAAGGUGUGUAUCAGCUGACUUCACUGAAGUCAGUGGAAUGACCCCAGUGUAAAACUGGCGUGAGUCAGUGGAGAAUCAAACCCUGUGUUACUAAUCCAGUAUUAGGUUUGUGAGCACAAAUAGUUCCUCUUUGGAAACUGGGUUUUGUUUAUCUCUGUCCCAGUCUGACUGCCAGUUCAGGCAAGGCUUGGAGAGAGAUUAACCGAAACCUGCUCUAUCCCCAGUGAUAUGUGAACCUUUUCCCCCCUCAUGGCCAGCAAGUAGAAUUAAAAGGACAUAAGAACAGCUAUACUGGGUCAGACCAUGGGUCCAUCUAGCCCAGUAUCCUGGUUUCUGACUGUGGCCAGUGCCAGAUGCUUCAGAGGGAAUGAACAGAACAGGGCAAUUUUGAGUGAUCUGUCCCCUAUCGUCCAAUCCUGGCUUCUGGCACUUGGAGGUUUAGGGACACCCAAAACAUGAGGUUGCAUCCCUGGCCAUCUUGGCUAAUAAUAGGACCUCCCCUGCAUUUAAAAAUGCUUUUUAUAAAACCUAAUAGAAAAAUGGCCAUGACUUUUAUUUACUCAAUACAUUUAAAUUGGUGGAUUUAAACAUUCUCCAGAACAACAGCACUAAGACCAGAAAGUGAAACUGAUCAGUCUAAUAUCGCCUGGUGAAGCACAUACAUGGAAUAGUGGGUUAAAAGUAGAGCUGGUUGAAAAACGGGAAAUUUCUAUGGUUAUUUUUUUUUAAUGUUCACAGGUUUGAGUAUGUUUUGACCAGCCUUUAGUGUGGUUGAAAUUUUUCCAACAACUGGAAUUUCAAGGAAAUUUUUCCACAAAUUUUUUUUUAAAUGUCUUGGUUUUUUUGUAGACUUUUUUUAAUUUCUUGACCAGCUCUAGAAAAAAAGUGAGUUGGAUUUUUCUUUCAAAUCUAGGCAGUACUCCUUUAAAACUCUGUAUUCUUCCGUCACAACAGCUGAUCUCUAGCUCCAGUAAUGCCGAUAACGCUAGUGUCAAUAACAAUGUCUAUAUUACAGGGCAACAAUAAAACUUUGGCGACAUAGUCAUUUUAUUUCCUACUCCCUAUACACCUUUCCUGGCUCAACACAUUUGCAGAUUUUUGUUGCGAUUUUAAAUAGCAAAACUGCAGUGUGUCGGUUCUCAUGGUAACGAGGAAAUAAGCAUUUUUCUCCCCCUCCUUUAAGGUGGAUAAUUAAAGGAACCAUUUUCCCCUAGCUUCCGUGUGUGUGUGUGUUUUCUCAUGACUUAUCUUCACUCAGAAAUGAGGUCAUUGUUAGAACAUGAUCUUGAGGAGUUGAUUUAACUAACAUGAUGUUUAACAUGACUUUGCAGUCCGUAUCAGCUUGUAGGGGAAAAUGGUGUUUAACAUCAGUCUAGCUGGUUGGGGUUAAACCUAGGGGUCCAGCUGGCACCAUAUUAACACAGAGAUUUCUGUCUGCACUGACUGCAAAGGUGUAUUUAACACCACUUUAGUUAAUAUGCCUCCUCAAGGUCAUGUUCUAACAGCCUCAUUUUUGAAUGAGGACAAGGCCCCAGUGAUGCAAGAACCUUGAGUCACUAAGGCUCGGGGUAAAAGCAGACAGGUGGAGAAACAGCAGGAAGGUGGAAAUGGCUUAGCCCUACAGAUUAGCAACUCAGUGGGCUUUGUGCCUUAAUAUCUGCACGUGGAGUGGAGACCAGAACCAUGGGUUUGAUUCUGCUCUCACUUACUUGGGUAUUACACUGGUGUAACUGAAAGCAGAAAUAGAUCCCUUUAUCUUAAUUAGGACGCUGUCACUGUGGCCUCUGAUAGGAAGAUCCCAUGUCAGGUGCAGCCGCAGAUUUUUGAUACCUGCAAACCACACUCAUUGGAGUGAUCCCUACUCAAGGGGAGCAUCCCCAGUGGAGUCCUAGAACCCGGUCAUAACCAAAUGCUACAGCAUAAUUCGUAUCAGUUCAACCAGCUGGCUCCUAGUGAGAUCUCUGUCCAUAGGGCCUGAUCCACUGCUCACUGAGGUCUGUGGAAAGCCUCCCAUUGCCUUCAGUAGGCAAGCUGCCAUGCCUCUGACAUCUUAGUCCCGAGGGGUCUGCACAGCCCGCAGGGAGGUGAAGUCCCCAGAGAACUGAAAUCAUCGCACCCCACACUACCACCAUUUUCUAGCCCUAGUUGGCCAGAGUCUGCUCAGUUUCGCCAGUGCAAAUCUGGCAUUCCUCUGCUAAAGUCUGGAUUUACACUGGUCUAACUCAGAGCAAAAGAUUGGCCCGGGGGUUCAACACAUGCAGUUCGGUCUCUGUGCGAAUUGGGGUUGAAACUAACAAGGCCCCUCAUGCCAAGAGCCACGGAUCUUUGCCUGAAAAUAUUGCUUUAGCUGUACUGUACCUGUUCUACUUCUGUACUCUUGAGUCUUGUUAUUGAAUGCACCUUGCUGUCCCUUCAGAAUUUCUUGCUAGAGGUGUCCUGUGUUAUCAGGUGCAAAUAGUAAGAAGCCGCUUUCUGGUUUAUUUGUCACCUUCUUCGUCCUCAGCAUCUUGCUUUUUCUGGAAGGGGAAAUACACACACCCACAUGCGCAAGCCACCAAGGGUACCCAUACUGUGAAUGUUCUCUGGUGUGAUUCAUUUGCAAAUACAAAUAGUAUAUUUAACUAUUAUUGUAAAAACAGAAGAUGAAUUUUAAAAGGAAUCAUUUUAAAGGUUUAUUCCAAAAGCUGCAAUGAUUUUUUUGUAUGGAAAGUUUUUCUGGAAUUAAUCGAAAGGUACAAAAAUAAAUAAAAGAUGGUAUCCUUGUGUCGGAAUGUUUUAUAAAGAUCCUGCGAUUUUUGUAUUUCAGAUGUGCCAUGGACUGUUUUGAGAAUGUGUUUGUUUUCUUGCUAAGGCUUAUAUUACAAAUGUAUUGUGAAUGCUACGAAGCCAAGAUUGGAAAAUAAACUUUACUGAGUAGAUGGUA